RNAcentral lists this long non-coding RNA (6556 nucleotides) under Arabidopsis lyrata. RNAcentral's name for it is "long non-coding RNA (ALYR_LNC001060)". Lineage: Eukaryota; Viridiplantae; Streptophyta; Magnoliopsida; Brassicales; Brassicaceae. The record is from RNAcentral.
UUUGAUAUUGUAGCCAUUCUUUGAUUGCACCUAAAUGACGUAUUUUCAUAUUCUCUUGGUUCAAAAUCUUAGACAGAAGUUGGUUUUGCAACCACAACUUGGAAUCAUGGUCAUCAACACCCAUUCUGCUCUUAAGACUACCCUUGAGGUUCCCCAUAAAACAUUUAAGUUGAAAAUUGCUAGAGAGUUGGUUGUCUAAAGCUCUAGCAAUGGUGGACUUACCAAUCCCUGCAGGACCCCAAAUCCCAAUCAUCUUGACUUCAUCACUUUCCAAGCAUAACAAAGAGUUCAAUUUUGCCAAGUGAGCUUCAUGUCCCACCAUCCCGUCAAAAUCCUUCGACGGUGUAAGAUUAAGUUUGUUUGAAACAUCGGUAGCAAUCUUUUUAAUCAUAUCUGCUUCAUUAGCCCUAACAAAAGCAAAACAAAAUCAUGUUGGUGGGUCGAAAUUACAAAAAUUUGAAGCACUAAUUCAUUCAGAGACAAAAAAAAAAAGAAAAAAAAAAAAAAGAAGAAGAUAAAAACAAGAUACCAAUUAAGAGAAUGUUCUCCUUCUAUGUUUGCAGCAUGAGUCAAAGCAUUGCUCCAACUCUGCUUCGUCUCCUCACUUUUCCCUUCACAAGUCUUCAUGAAUGCGGUUCCGAAAUCUCCCUUCUGUUUCCGUACACUCGACGGAUCAACGUCAUAGAAGAUGGUCAUCACGAUCUGCCCCUGAUCUUCUUUGCACUUGAAGAUUUCCACAAGUUCAUCUAAACACCAGCUCGAAGAAGCGUACUUCUUCGAGAGCAGCACGAUCGAGACUCGAGAUUCUCUAAUCGCUUGUACGAGCUCAGGUUUAAUCGUGUGGCCUCUCUCGAUCUCCUGAUCUUUAAACGUCGUGAUCCCUUUGCUUGCGAAGUGAUCGUGUAAAUGACUGAGAAACCCUCUACGAACAUCUGGGCCAUGGAAGCUCGGGAAAACAUGGUAUCUCAUGAUGCCAGAGGAAGAAGAAGAAGAAGCCAUGAGAGAUCACAAAUGCUUGAACUUGAAGAAAGUAUUUUUAGAAUGGUAUUGGAGAAAGUAUGAUUGGAAAAGCAAGAUCCUUCGGUUAUUUAUCGAAGCAAAAAAAACGCGUAAAAGGAGAAGAGAAAUUUCGAAGAAAUUGGAAUGUACUGAAGAAAUACAAAAUAGACAAAUUUCAAAGGAAAGCUCCUUUGGUUUUUGUAGUGAAGCAAAAAAACGCGUAAAGAGAAGAGAAAUUUCGAAGAAAUUGGAAUGUAAUUGAAGAAAUACAAAAUAGAAGGGGACAAAUUUCAAAAGCGUACGUGUUUCUUUAUAGUCGUCGAGGACCACAAUCACUCAUUAAAGCUUUGCCAUGUGAAAUGAGCACAGAGUUAUAAUAAGUAUCCGACAGUCAAGUUGGUAGAGAGCACAGAGUUAUAAUAAGUAUCCGACAGUCAAGAUGGUAGAGACGACGAAUCACGAAGUUUCGAAUGAGCUCAACCACAUACCACAUUUGGUUUGAAAAGUAAACCGGGUCUUUUAUUUGUUUUAAAUUCAAUAACAGUAAUAUCGAAUUAAAUUCUGCUUUUGGGAAUGAUGAUUUUGGAUAUUUAACUUAGGUUUUUUCUGUUUUUUUUUUUUUUUUGUGUAGUGGAUGUAUUGAAAUAACGUGUGGCUUCUAUUUUAACAGCUUAUGUUUCAUUGGUGUGGAGGACACUCAGUUUCAUAAGUAAAAGAGAAGUUAUCAAAGAAAUUACGAAUUUGACAUUUUAGGGCCUGAUAUUGGGCCCUUAACUUUAUAAACGGGCCGAGCCUGAGAUUUCGGUUUUCCCGAUACUCGCAACUAAGGGUGUCAAAAUAAGCUAGCUCGCUCAACUCGGUUCAGCUCAUGAUGAGCUCGGACAUUUUAUGAGCUAACUCAGCUCAGCUCAUUUAUUAGAUGAGCUUCAAUAUAUAAAUUCGGACUCAGAUCAUCUUGGUCACGAGUUAAAUGAGCUAGCUCAUAACAAAUAAAUAUAAUAACAAAAAUAUUGUAAAUUUUUUUUAAAAAAUUAAAAUAAAUCCAAUAACAUAAUUAAUUCUAAAGUUAAAUAAUGGAAAUAAACCGAGAAAAAAAUAAUCUCAAAACGCCAAACAAAAAAAAUCUCAAAUAAUAAAUCCUAACAAUUAAAUUAAAUUAAUUAAAGAUAAUAGAAAUAUGGAAUGAUCAAGAAUUUAUUCCGUGUUAGAGUCUUGCUCUUGAGAUGAUCCUACAUCAACAUCUUCAUUGUCUUCAUCUACAAGUAAACGUUUUAGAUAAUAUCUAAAUAUGAUAAUUCCUUUCAUUUUUUUGGGAAACGUUUAAGAUAAAUUUUUUAAAGGAUUAUUUCUAUAUUACUUAAUUAUCUUCUAAAAUUAAUAUGUAAAAACACAAAUUUUUUAAAAGAAUAAUUCUAUUUUUGUUUAAUUUAUAUGGAAAAGAUAUAUAUAUAUAUAUAUAUAUAUAUAUAUAUAUAUAUAUAUUUCUAAAAAAAGUCGAGCUCAUGUUCAUUAAAGCUUGCUCAUAUAACUCGCGAUCUAAAAAAAGCUCGAUCACAUAACUCAUUUAUUAAAUGAGCCUAAAAAACAGAGCUCGUGCUCAUGAAAAAUCGAGCUGAGCUGAACCAGCUUAUGAGUUGCGAGCUCAUUUUGACACCCCUACUCGCAACAAAUCCGUUCAAAACAGUAUUUUAUCUAAAUCGCGCUAAAAUUUUAUCAUCCCACCUAACAUUGUGGGAUGUGCAAGCAACGUGAAGGCCAUAACAUUGAUACUAUAUGCGAUUAACAAUUAUUAAAAAGUGUAUUUUAUAUAUGGGACUCCAAAGAACUCGGAAAAUGUUUUCAACGAUCAAAAUCACACCAAACCAAAAUUCAACAUUUUCCUGCAACUUUUUUUUUUCUCUUAAUUUUCUUAGCAACCAAGAAGAAGAAAAGACAGAGGAAAAAUAAAACUCUUUUUUCUUCGUCUUCUGAAUUCCUCAGUUGCUUUCAAAUUCUCAUUUAAAUCUGUUGUAUUGAUCGGUGAGAGACAUUCUACGUAACCAAUUUUUCAAAGGUUGAUUUUCUUUUUAUCAAUUUUUUCAAUUUGAGAUUGUUUUUUGGAUGAUCAGGUCGGAUAUUUGCUCUGUUUCGGUUCGUGUAUGAUAUGCUUUUGUAUGCUCGAUUAUUGAUCGUUCCUUAAAUCAUAAAGAAUCUUCCUUUCAGGUUUGGCCUCAAAACCCUAAUGUUGCUUCUUCUUGAUCUAUAUAUAUCUUAUUGUUCUUUGGUCUCAUUUUGAUUGUUUUUUUUUUCCAGCAUUCAUAAAUCUCUCAAGUCGUGUGGAACAAUUAUUGUGUUGGUUUUAUUGAGAGAUAAAAAGAUUUGAGGAUUUUUCACAACAACAUUGUUUGUUUGUCUGAUGGAGCAAUUCAGACAAAUCGGCGAAGUUCUUGGAAGUCUAAAUGCACUAAUGGUAUUACAAGAUGAUAUCUUGAUCAACCAAAGACAAUGUUGUUUGUUGCUAGAACUCUUCAGUUUAGCUUUCAACACGGUCGCAGAAGAGAUCAGACAGAAUCUAAAGCUUGAAGAGAAGCAUACUAAAUGGAGAGCUCUUGAACAACCUUUAAGAGAGCUUUAUAGAGUUUUUAAAGAAGGAGAGUUAUAUGUUAAGCAUUGUAUGGAUAAUAGUGAUUGAAUCGGUGGGGCAAAGUUAUCAAUCUUCAUCAGAAUAAAGAUUGUGUUGAGUUUCAUAUACACAACUUGUUCUGUUAUUUCUCUGCGGUUGUUGAAGCGAUCGAGGCUGCCGGUGAGAUUUCGGGUCUUGACCCUUCGGAGAUGGAGAGAAGGAGAGUUGUGUUUUCAAGAAAGUAUGAUAGAGAGUGGAAUGAUCUUAAGCUUUUUCAAUGGAGGUUUGGGAAACAGUAUUUGGUAUCGCGGGAUAUUUGCAGCCGGUUUGAGCGUUCUUGGAGAGAAGAUAGAUGGAAUCGAGUUAAGGCAUUACAAGAGAAGAGGAAAUCGGAUAGCGAUGAUAUUGGAAAGACCGAGAAACGUUUAGCAGAUUUGCUUUUGAAGAAGUUAACCGGUUUGGAGCAGUUUAACCGGUUACGAAUAAACCACACUCAAUAAUCUUGUCCUCGUCGCGCCCGCAGUUGAACUCAAAUGUAAUCUCGCUCAUGGUCACAUCCACUUCAUGGCAUUUGCUUCCUUGGGGAAACAAAUCACCAUGAAAUAUAAACAGAUGUUUUGACCGAAAAGACAAAUCCAGAUGUCUAAACUCGCAGCUAUGAACUGUAACACCUCCUUUGCUUCUUAUACUACAACUUAUAGUUCUAAAUCUGCCUUUCUUGACUGGGAAAAUGAGAAUGGAAGCCUUAAACCUUGAGGAAGCAGAGAGAGUACCCGGAGCGAGAGGAAUGGUUAUGGAUCUCCCUGUAGCUUUGUGAGUGAACUCUGCAGGGAUGUUUUUACCUGGUAACCAUUUAUAUAUGCCAACUGAUUUUUGUAUGAUUACUCUUCUUGCUUCUUCAUCCAGUUUCAAACAGUUGCUGAAUUGGAGUACAUUGGUUGGGGUAUGGAAAGAGAAGCGUACUCUCUUGAGUGAUACACAAUCGUUUGCAUCUAGGACCUUGAGGGAGGGGGGAAGACCCGGAACUGACUCGAGUUUUGUGCACCUUUUGACGUGAAGCCUUACUAAACGAGUGAGACAUAUGACGCAAUCUGGAAUCGUCUCUAUAUCACUGUUUUCAAGAAAUAGGUCAGUUAUAAAGAGUGGUACAUGUGUCAAUCUCUUGAGGCUUCUGCUGCAAAUGUUGAGGUGAUGAAGACGAGACAAACAUCCAGCAACUGAUGGAGGGACAUCUUCUAUAUCUGUAUCUCCGAGAUUGAGAACAUCGAUGUUACUGGAGAUAUCUGGAAAAGUUGUCAACCGUGAGCAACCAAUCAUGUCUACUCUCUCAAGAGAUGCUAAGUUUAUGUUGCUGGGAAUAACUUGUAGCAUAGAGCACCAUUGAACAUUUAGAAUCUUUAGUUUUUGUAAAUUCUUAAUAGAAGAUGGAAGCUCCACCAAACUUCCGCAGCCCUCAAGUGUCAAUUCCUCGAGAUUAGUAGCAUUUGAAAGAUUUGGGAUUUCUUUCAAUUUACGGGAUCGGUUCAGAUCUAUGCUCUUGAGAUUAGGAAGGGACUGCAUGUUAAACACAACAAAUGAGAAACAUUUCUUAUUUAAAUUGAAUCAUUAGAAGCACUAGAAAGAAUAUCGAAUACCAAACCUGGAUUCCUCCCCAGAGCUUCUCGAGAUUGCUAAAUGGCAUAUGGAGUUUCACGAGGCGUUCCGGCUGAAAUCUUAAAGGCAGACUUUUUCUUGAGUAAUUAUACCAAUCUAGUAACCUUAGACGAGGUAAAUACUGCAUAUCCUCUGGUAUUUGCAAACUCCUAUAGAUUCUUAGGAAUCGGAGAUUACGCAUUCCUUCAAAAGCCCCUUUACCUACAGAAACCUCUCCGAUAUUGGAUGUAUCAAAUGAUAUACCUAUGACUGAUCCAGUACCCUACAAAAUAACAUUGCCAAUGACUGAUGAAAUUGUUAUCACUAAAAAUAUAUAUGUAAGAACUUAAACUUACUGUUUCGGUUGACAGUACAUCACAAAUCUCAUCGGCCUCAAAUAAAAAUUGACGUUUCCCGGGCUCGUCAGACUGUUCAUGAACUAUCUGUCUACCCAACUGUUGUAGUAGAUGGUGCAUCACUAUAUGGCCAGACGUAGAUUUACGCACGAGAGAUUUAUCAGCUAGGGUCUCUAACCCAUUUCCAACAUCCAAGUUACUAUCAGAAAGCAGGGUUGUCACAUCAUCAGCGACUUCAUUGUUGAAGAAGCAUGCAAUGUGAAGGAAUAGAGAUUGAUUUUUCUUCGACAAUCUGUCGAAUCCGAUUCUUAAAAUGUCUUCAAUUUUUCUAUCAAGACUAGCUUCGAUCCUAGAUAAUUGAAGUUCCCACACGUGCUUCCUCUGCCCACGCAAAGAUUUACCCACAACACAAAGGCCUAAUGGAAGCUUGCCGCAAAGGUUUGCUACUUUUUUGGCAACCUCUUCAAAGCCAUCUGGUACAGAGCUUUGUUUGAAAGCAGAGAGACAUAAGAUCUCAAGAGCGUCUUCCUUGGAUGGAAAAUUCACAUGGUAGAUAUCGUUGAUCCCAUGUGCCUUCAAAAUCUUCUUAUCUUCUGUGGUAACGAUGAUCCGGCUUCCAAAACCAAACCAAGAAAGUUCUUCAGCCAAAACCUCUAAUAUCUUUAGAUCAUCUACAUCAUCAAGAAUGAUGAGCACUCUUUGAUCGUGUAGCCUUUCUUUGAUUGCACCUAAAUGAUGUAUCUUCAUAUUCUCUUGGUUCAAAAUCUUAGACAUAAGUUGGUUUUGCAACCACAACUUGGAAUCAUGCUCAUCAACACCCACUAUGCUCUUAAGACUUCCCUUGAGGUUCCCCAUAAAACAUUUAAGUUGAAAACUGCUAGAGAGUUGGUUGUCUAAAGCUCUAGCAAUGGUGGACUUACCAAUCCCUGCAGGACCCCAAAUCCCAAUCAUCUUGACUUCAUCACUU